Molecule: ribosomal RNA, 1043 nt
Filed under: Anastrepha serpentina
Lineage: Eukaryota; Metazoa; Arthropoda; Insecta; Diptera; Tephritidae
Description: eukaryotic LSU rRNA
Rfam family: Eukaryotic large subunit ribosomal RNA
Source: RNAcentral
UCUAGUAGCUGGUUCCCUCCGAAGUUUCCCUCAGGAUAGCUGGUGCAUUUAAAAAUUAUAUAAAAUAAUCUUAUCUGGUAAAGCGAAUGAUUAGAGGCCUUAGGGUCGAAACGAUUUUAACCUAUUCUCAAACUUUAAAUGGGUAAGAACCUCACCUUUCUUGAUAUGAAGGUUGAGGUUAUGAUAUAAUGUGCCCAGUGGGCCACUUUUGGUAAGCAGAACUGGCGCUGUGGGAUGAACCAAACGUAAUGUUACGGUGCCUAAAUUAACAACUCAUGCAGAUACCAUGAAAGGCGUUGGUUGCUUAAAACAGCAGGACGGUGGACAUGGAAGUCGUAAUCCGCUAAGGAGUGUGUAACAACUCACCUGCCGAAGCAACUAGCCCUUAAAAUGGAUGGCGCUUAAGUUGUAUACCUAUACAUUACCGCUAAAGUAGAUGAUUUAUAAUACAAUUUCGAUUGAUUUAUAAAUUUUGAAACUUUAGUGAGUAGGAGGGUACAAUGGUGUGCUUAGAAGUGUUUGGCGUAAGCCUGCAUGGAGCCGCUAUUGGUACAGAUCUUGGUGGUAGUAGCAAAUAAUCGAAUGAGACCUUGGAGGACUGAAGUGGAGAAGGGUUUCGUGUGAACAGUGGUUGAUCACGAGUUAGUCGGUCCUAAGUUCAAGGCGAAAGCCGAAAAUUUUCAAGUUUUAAAUAAAUAUUAAUAAAAUUUAUAUAUUAAAAUAGAAAUAAUUAAAUACUUGAAUUAUUUUGAACGAAAGGGAAUACGGUUCCAAUUCCGUAACCUGUUGAGUAUCCGUUUGUUAUUAAAAAUGGGCCUUGUGCUCAUCCUGGCAACAGGAACGACCAUAAAGAAGCCGUCGAGAGAUAUCGGAAGAGUUUUCUUUUCUGUUUUAUAGUCGUACUACCAUGGAAGUCUUUCGAAGAGAGAUAUGGUAGAUGGACUAGAAGAGCAUGACAUUUACUGUUGUGUCGAUAUUUUCUCCUCGGACCUUGAAAAUUUAUGGUGGGGUCACGCAAACUUCUCAACAGGCCGUACCAAUAU